UUCGCAAUGCCCGAAAGGGUGACGAUGCGACGCCGCGUGAGCGAAGAAGGCCCUAGGGUUGUAAAGCUCUGUCGAGGGUUAUGAAAUAUAGAUGGGUUAAUACCCCAUUUAUUUGACAAAAGCCCAAAAGGAAGCCACGGCUAACUCUGUGCCAGCAGCCGCGGUAAUACAGAGGUGGCGAGCGUUGUUCGGUAUUAUUGGGCGUAAAGAGCACGUAGGUGGUUCUGUAAGUCAGAUGUGAAAGCCUUCUGUUCAAAGGAAGAACGGCAUCUGAAACUGCAGAUCUUGAGUGUAGGAGAGGAGAGUGGAACUUCUGGUGGAGCGGUGAAAUGCGUAGAUAUCAGAAGGAACGUCGGCGGCGAAAGCGACUCUCUGGCCUAUUACUGACACUGAGUGUGCGAAAGUUAGGGGAGCAAACGGGAUUAGAUACCCCGGUAGUCCUAACCGUAAACGAUGGGCACUAAGUAGAGGGGUUUU
RNAcentral lists this ribosomal RNA (477 nucleotides) under uncultured anaerobic ammonium-oxidizing bacterium. Its description in RNAcentral is "bacterial SSU rRNA". It matches the Rfam family "Bacterial small subunit ribosomal RNA", at positions 365 to 832 of the family's 1533-position model. The record is from RNAcentral.